Molecule: RNA transcript, 2232 nt
Organism: Arachis ipaensis
Lineage: Eukaryota; Viridiplantae; Streptophyta; Magnoliopsida; Fabales; Fabaceae
Gene name: folylpolyglutamate synthase
Source: RefSeq, a predicted model, not a curated record
GAGAGAGAGAGAGAGAGAGAGAGAUAAGAGAAGAAAGAAAUGGCAGUGCCAUUGUUAUGUCUUUGCUCCUUCUCACUCUCACCAACCCCAUACACUACGCCUUCCAUCUUUCAUUCCUUCAAUCCCAGCACCACUUUCCUCCGUUUCAAGCUCCAUUCCACCCUAUUUCACUCCACAAUACCCAUGUCUCAAGGAGAUAAAAUGACUCCCUAUGAAGAAGCAUUGGAGGCCUUGUCUUCUCUGAUCACUAGACGCACUCGUGUUGGUGAUGUCAAUUUAGAGGAACGAUUCAACGUGCUGUUUGAGUACGUGAAGAUGCUAGAUUUGGAGGAGGCGAUUUCAAAUAUGAAGAUCAUCCAUGUAGCCGGCACUAAAGGGAAGGGAUCUACAUGCACUUUCACAGAGUCUAUUUUACGAAACUGUGGUUUUCGCACUGGGCUCUUUACUUCUCCUCACCUAAUUGAUAUCCGAGAAAGAUUUCGUUUAGAUGGUCUGGAAAUCUCUGAAGAGAAAUUUUUGGCAUACUUCUGGUGGUGUUAUGAUAGACUAAAGGAGAAAACUGAUGACAAGGUUCCAAUGCCUCCUUUCUUCCACUUCCUUGCUUUACUUGCCUUCAAGAUAUUUUCAGCUGAGCAGGUAGAUGUUUCCAUAAUGGAAGUUGGUUUAGGUGGCAAGUAUGAUGCAACAAAUGUGGUGCAGGCACCAGUUGUGUGUGGUAUAACAUCCCUUGGGUAUGAUCACAUGGAGAUUCUUGGGAAUACUCUUGGAGAAAUUGCUGGUGAGAAGGCCGGUAUCUUCAAGCAUCGGAUUCCAGCUUUUACUGUGCCUCAGCCUGAUGAAGCAAUGCAUGUACUUAAAGAGAAGGCUUCUCGGUUAAAUGUACCUCUUCAAGUGGUUAACCCGGUAGAUGCCAAAUUGCUAAAUGGUUCAACACUGGGGCUUGAAGGUGAGCAUCAAUAUACAAAUGCUGGUCUUGCUGUCGCGUUAUGCUCUAUGUGGCUGAAGAUGACCGGGCAUCUUCAAGACACUAAUUUGGAACAAACACAACACACUUUGCCAGAGCCAUUCAUAAAAGGGUUAGCAACUGCAAGUCUGCAAGGAAGGGCCCAGAUUGUUCCUGAUCAACACGUCAACAAUGAAGCCUCAAAUGAACUUGUCUUCUUUCUAGAUGGGGCUCAUAGUCCUGAAAGCAUGGAAGCAUGUGCAAGGUGGUUUACUCUUGCCAUUAAGGGCCAGGACCAGACUUCGUUUCAUCAGAAACUGGAUAAUUCUAAGUUCUCUACAGGAAUGGUGAAGAUGAAUAUAGGUGAAAGAGACCAUAAAAAAUCCACACAGAUUUUGCUGUUCAAUUGUAUGUCUGUUCGAGAUCCACAGUUGCUUCUUCCUCAAUUGAUGAAAACAUGUGCUGAUCAUGGUGUCUACUUCAGAAAGGCUCUCUUUGUGCCUGCUUUAUCAAUGUACCACAAAGUUGGAUCUCAUGCUUUAACCCCGACCGAUACUAACAUUAACCUGUCAUGGCAGUUAACUCUUCAAAGAGUGUGGGAAAGUCUCAUGCAAGGGAACAAAGUUGCUUCUGAUCCGCUGGCUUAGUAGGCAAGAGUACUGAUGCCGCUUCAGAGGAAUUAAAAGAUGAUAUGGGGAUGAGUGCCAAUAAUUUCGAACACAGCGCAGUGUUUCCCUCGUUGCCGGUGGCUAUCAAGUGGCUUAGGGAUAGAGUACAACAGAAUCAAUCAACUCGUUUUCAGGUACUUGUAACUGGUUCUAUACAUCUUGUUGGUGACGUGUUGAAAUUAAUCAAGAAGUGAUCAAGUGCCACCGUGCCAACUAUUCUAAGAUCUUGUCCCACAAGAGAUCCCUCUCAAUCAUUCAGUAUCCAUUGAGGAUUUGAAGAGCUAUCACACAUCGUUGGAAACUGCUAACACAAUGUUUUCAACACAAGCAACCGACUAACCAUCUUGGUUUUGGACAAUUUAUUGUAGAUGAAGCUUGGUGGUUUAUUUCAAGAUGAGGCUGGUUUGGGUUUCCUAGUGGGAUGUCUUUCAAUUUUUUUUAAUUUGAUUCUUGUAGUUGAAAAGGUGAAAGAUGGAUUAAGGAACAUGGAUAAAAGAUAAUCCACCUACCUAGUCUAGGGUCUUAUUUGCACAUAAACUUCAUUAAGUUGUCACUAUCAUACUAAUGCUUUCAACAAUCAACAUGUUUGGAUUCAUAAUGCCAACUCUUUACAAGAAUGCC